RNAcentral lists this ribosomal RNA (619 nucleotides) under uncultured bacterium. RNAcentral describes it as "bacterial SSU rRNA". It matches the Rfam family "Bacterial small subunit ribosomal RNA", at positions 338 to 1418 of the family's 1533-position model. The record is from RNAcentral.
CCUACGGGAGGCAGCAGUAAGGAAUAUUGGUCAAUGGUGGCAACACUGAACCAGCCAUGCCGCGUGCAGGAUGAAGGUUCUAUGAAUUGUAAACUGCUUUUAUACGGGAAAAAACUUUCGAACGUGUUUGGAACUGAUGGUACCGUAAGAAUAAGGAUCGGCUAACUUCGUGCCAGCAGCCGCGGUAAGACGAAGGAUCCAAGCGUUAUCCGGAUUUAUUGGGUUUAAAGGGUGCGUAGGUGGACUUGUAAGUCAGUGGUGAAAGCCCGAUGCUUAACAUCGGAACUGCCAUUGAUACUGCAAGUCUUGAAUAUGUUUGAAGUGGGCGGAAUGUGUCGUGUAGCGGUGAAAUGCUUAGAUAUGACACAGAACACCGAUUGCGAAGGCAGCUCACUAAACCAUUAUUGACACUGAGGCACGAAAGCGUGGGGAGCAAACAGGAUUAGAUACCCUGGUAGUCCACGCCCUAAACGUUGAAUACUCGAUAUGUGCGAUACACUGUACGUGUCCAAGAGAAAUCGUUAAGUAUUCCACCUGGGGAGUACGCUCGCAAGAGUGAAACUCGAAAGUAGUAGUACGACGNGAGAGAGACGACGACGACGACGACGGAGGGAGGAGG